GUACAAGAGUAACAAUUUGGGACCCGCCAGGUUUUAUCAUUCCUGCUGCCGGAGGUCCAGCCAGGCGUGACGGCGAAUAUUGAGGGGCUGGCUCUUGUCACGACCGAAAUCUGGACGGAUCCGUCUCUGGUUUUCUCAUCUCCUUCUUCUCCACGCUCCACCAGCACCGAUUCACUGCUCUCCCAUCUUCCGACUUCAUAUAUACCGACAUAUGCUCGACCACAGAUUUUGGGGCUGCUCUCCUCGCCGCUUGUUCCCGGAGGGUCAUCCGGAACCGCCCUGGUGGCCCUUCUUCCACCUGCAACGACUGCUGCCCUGCGUUACUCUCUCCCAAAGUCUCAAUUUCGAAAGGAACCAACGAGCUUUGCCGGCCACUGUGCUUUCCCUUUUAUCUUUUUC
This 399-nucleotide long non-coding RNA is filed under the name Elaeis guineensis (African oil palm). Its description in RNAcentral is "long non-coding RNA (EGUI_LNC032602)". The record is from RNAcentral. Lineage: Eukaryota; Viridiplantae; Streptophyta; Magnoliopsida; Arecales; Arecaceae.